Molecule: ribosomal RNA, 433 nt
Filed under: uncultured bacterium
Lineage: Bacteria
Description: partial 16S ribosomal RNA
Rfam family: Bacterial small subunit ribosomal RNA
Source: RNAcentral
AACGAACGCUGGCGGCAUGCCUAACACAUGCAAGUCGAACGAGACCUUCGGGUCUAGUGGCGCACGGGUGCGUAACGCGUGGGAACCUGCCCUUAGGUUCGGAAUAACUCCCCGACAGGGGUGCUAAUACCGGAUAAUGUCUUCGGACCAAAGAUUUAUCGCCUUUGGAUGGGCCCGCGUUGGAUUAGCUAGUUGGUAGGGUAAAAGCCUACCAAGGCGACGAUCCAUAGCUGGUCUGGGAGGAUGAUCAGCCACACUGGGACUGAGACACGGCCCAGACUCCUACGGGAGGCAGCAGUGGGGAAUAUUGGACAAUGGGCGAAAGCCUGAUCCAGCAAUGCCGCGUGAGUGAUGAAGGCCUUAGGGUUGUAAAGCUCUUUUACCCGGGAUGAUAAUGACAGUACCGGGAGAAUAAGCUCCGGCUAACUCCGUG